UACGGAGGGUGCAAGCGUUAUCCGGAUUCACUGGGUUUAAAGGGUGUGUAGGCGGGUAUUUAAGUCAGUGGUGAAAUCUCCGGGCUCAACCCGGAAACUGCCAUUGAUACUAUUUAUCUUGAAUAUUGUUGAGGUAGGCGGAAUACAUCAUGUAGCGGUGAAAUGCUUAGAUAUCGUCAAGAACACCAAUAGUGAAGACAGCUUACUGGGCUUAAACUGACGCUGAGGCACGAAAGUGUGGGGAUCAAACAGG
Molecule: ribosomal RNA, 253 nt
Filed under: uncultured bacterium
Lineage: Bacteria
Description: partial 16S ribosomal RNA
Rfam family: Bacterial small subunit ribosomal RNA
Source: RNAcentral